GUAACACACUUCGUUGCCAGGGACUCAAAUCCUGCAGUGCCAGGCGUGUCCCCCUGCUUAAGCCAGUACAUGUCCUGGCCCGUCUGAAGUUUGCCAGAGAGCAUAUGGAUAAUCCAGAAGAGAA
This is a long non-coding RNA of Etheostoma spectabile (orangethroat darter), 124 nucleotides long. RefSeq lists it as uncharacterized. Lineage: Eukaryota; Metazoa; Chordata; Actinopteri; Perciformes; Percidae. The record is from RefSeq and is a predicted model, not a curated record. The transcript has 3 exons.